This 253-nucleotide ribosomal RNA is filed under the name uncultured bacterium. Its description in RNAcentral is "partial 16S ribosomal RNA". It matches the Rfam family "Bacterial small subunit ribosomal RNA", at positions 524 to 776 of the family's 1533-position model. The record is from RNAcentral.
UACAGAGGUGGCAAGCGUUGUUCGGAAUUACUGGGCGUAAAGGGCGCGUAGGCGGCCUUCUAAGUCAGACGUGAAAUCCCCCGGCUUAACCUGGGAACUGCGUCUGAUACUGGGAGGCUUGAGUGCAGGAGAGGAACGCGGAAUUCCAGGUGUAGCGGUGAAAUGCGCAGAUAUCGGGAGGAACACCAAUGGCGAAGGCAGCUCGCUGGGACGUGACUGACGCUGAGACGCGAAAGCGUGGGGAGCAAACAGG